Aethalodelphis obliquidens (Pacific white-sided dolphin) is the source of this 3815-nucleotide RNA transcript. It is a transcript of the gene named pyruvate dehydrogenase complex component X, with no coding region annotated. The transcript has 12 exons. The record is from RefSeq and is a predicted model, not a curated record. NCBI's taxonomy places the organism in Eukaryota, Metazoa, Chordata, Mammalia, Artiodactyla, Delphinidae.
GAGAAGGCCGGGAAGAUGGCGGCCUCCUGGAGGCUAGGCUGUGAUCAGCGGUUGCUGCGUGGGCUGGUUAAGGGGGCUGCUGUGUGGUCUGCCGGUCGUGGAGCUAGUUGGAGAUGGUUUCACAGCACGCAGUGGCUGCGAGCUGAUCCUAUUACGAUACUAAUGCCAUCACUGUCUCCUACAAUGGAAGAAGGGAACAUUGUGAAAUGGCUGAAAAAGGAAGGUGAAGCUGUGAGUACUGGAGAUGCCUUAUGUGAAAUAGAGACUGACAAAGCUGUGGUUACCUUAGAUGCAAGUGAUGACGGCAUCUUGGCCAAAAUAGUGGUUGCAGAAGGAUCUAAAAAUAUACGGCUAGGUUCACUAAUUGGUUUGCUAGUUGAAGAAGGAGAAGAUUGGAAACAUGUUGAAAUUCCCAAAGAUAUAGGUCCUUCGUCACCAGCUUCAAAACCAUCAGUGCCUUGCCCUUCACCAGAACCACAGAUUUCUACCCCUGUCAAAAAGGAACACACACCAGGAAAACUACAGUUCCGUUUAAGUCCAGCUGCCCGCAAUAUUCUGGAAAAACACGCACUGGAUGCUAACCAGGGCACAGCCACUGGCCCUCGGGGGAUAUUCACUAAAGAGGAUGCUCUCAAACUGGUCCAGUUGAAACAGAUGGGCAAGAUCACUGAAUCCAGACCCACCCCGGCCCCGCCAACCAUUCCCACAGCGUCUUUACCCCCACAGGCCACAGCCAGGCCAUCUUAUCCCCGGCCAAUGAUCCCUCCAGUAUCAACUCCUGGACAGCCUAAUGUAGCGGGCACGUUCACUGAAAUCCCUACUAGCAAUAUUAGAAGAGUUAUUGCCAAGAGGUUAACUGAAUCUAAACGUACUGUACCUCAUGCAUAUGCUACUACUGACUGUGACCUUGGAGCUGUUUUAAAAGUUAGGCAAAAUCUGGUCAGAGAUGACAUCAAAGUAUCAGUAAACGAUUUUAUCAUCAAGGCAGCAGCUGUUACCCUUAAACAAAUGCCGAGUGUUAAUGUAAGCUGGGAUGGAGAGAGCCCAAAGCAACUGCCCUUUAUUGACAUUUCAGUGGCUGUGGCAACAGAUAAAGGGUUAAUUACACCAGUCAUCAAAGAUGCUGCUGCUAAGGGUCUGCCAGAGAUUGCUGACUCUGUGAAGGCUCUAUCAAAGAAAGCUAGAGAUGGAAAAUUGUUACCUGAAGAAUACCAAGGAGGAUCUUUUAGUAUUUCCAAUUUGGGGAUGUUUGGCAUCGAUGAAUUUACUGCAGUGAUCAACCCUCCUCAGGCCUGCAUUUUGGCUGUUGGGAGAUUCCGACCUGUGCUGAAGCUCACUCAGGAUGAAGAGGGUAAUGCCAAACUGCAGCAACACCAGCUCAUAACGGUCACAAUGUCCAGUGACAGCCGAGUGGUAGAUGAUGAACUGGCUACCAGGUUUCUGGAAAGUUUUAAAGCAAACCUGGAGAAUCCUAUCCGACUUGCCUAAUCCUCAAAGAUGAGAAGUUGGUCUUUGGCUUAGUUAAUUGUAUCAUUGUUACUGAGAAACAUACACUAUAGGAAAACAAUUAGGUAUUUAAGUGUAAAGUGAAUGAAAUGUUUAUUUAGGGUGAAAGAGUUUGACCUGAGUUGUCUUCAUUUUCAUUUUGGGUUCAGAGUUAUAUAAAUAAAUAACAAACUGUAACUAAUGGAAGGAAGAGAACAUUUGGUUAGUCAGAUGCAUUUUUAAUUUAACCACUGGUGCUGUACAAAAGGGAUGUUCAGCUAGAUGUAAAUUAAAUUAGAUAUUUGGCUCAUUGGAGCAUUUUAGAAUAUUUGAGGAUGUAUUAUAAGUUGUAAAAGCAAAAAAUUUUAGAACUCUACCUUAAUUGUGUUGAAAUUAGAAGUGGUCUUCAAAGAGAUACCCAUUAAUGUAGCAGUGGGACGUCACUUUUAUAAGCACUGCUCUAGAUAUACUUGAACAAUUUAGUAUGUACAGAAGUUUAUUCUGGAUACUAGCAGAUAAAUAAGAAUCACUCUGUAUUAGGGGUUGUGGCAACAUUAUUGAAUUUUUUAUGUAUAUAAAGCCAUAUGUUUUAGAGUGGUUUCUAUCAGUCUUAUUUUACACUUCUGUGACACUGUGAACUAAAGAAGAAGAAUUAAAAAGACUCAAAGGUGAAGAAAGAGACCAAAAUAUUUUGUUUGCUUUGAUAAUAAACUACAGUGAAAACAUCUAAACCUUCAGAAAUAAACUGCUCACCUUCAUACUGAGUUGGGAUAUAUUAAAGUGAAAUGGGUGGCGAUACCCGCCCCUGCCUGCCUUACAGAGCUGACAUGGACUGCACAGGAGAAAUGCUCUGUAAAUUCAAGACAUUUUAAUUCUUCAUGGACAUCACAGCCAGGCUUUUCAUAUAAUCAGUGGCUUCUCAUGGUUUGACUUUUCAUGGUUUGACUUCUCAGCUGUUGGAACAAAUGCCCGUUCAUUCUGACCAAAAAAUAUUUUCUAUACUAUUUCUAUACUGCUUAGGUUUAUGUAAGAAAAUCAUCAUUUCUAAAAAUAGUUCUGUUGCAGCGUGAGGUCAGAGAAUAACACUGAUUUGAGAAAGGGGUAUGGUGUCUUGACUGGGAUCCUUAAACAGAGGAUGAACUGUGUGCUGUAUGAGCAGGCUGUCUUCCACGUUAUAAAUUUAUACUUACUUGUAGUACUGAUAGGGAUCACACUGAGAGCAUAUGAAAAUGAAAUUUUAUACCUUUUUUUUUUUUUUUUCUUAUUUAAACAAGGAAAAUGACCAAAAUGUUGGGAAGACUUCUAAGGAAAAGGCAACACACAUUCUAGUUAACGCUUGGGCAUGAAAAUAUCAAUGAAUAUUAAAAUUUAUAAGUCAAAACGGCCCUGCUUCUCCCUGAUUGCGACUUCGAGUUAACAUCUUCAGGCACAGUUCACUGUCUAUUUUGUGGCAGAUUAAAAUCUUCAGUAUACUGCUGGCCAGACUCCUUUGUUUGAAACAUUACUAAGAAAUUGAUACAUACUGGUAUAAGUGUUUUAUGUACAUGUCAAAUGGAACUUCUAUUUUCAGAUUUUUUUUUUUCCUUCCUGCAUUUUAGACUUAAUUUCACACUAAAUUGUACAGGCCAGAUAUUUGGGCAUUAUGCUAAAAGUAAAACUAGUUUCCUAACCUUUUAUUGAAAGAUAGGUGGUGCUGUGAGUUAAUAUAUUGUAGUUAGAGUGUGGGAGAAAAAUAAAACUGACAAUUCUCAGUUUUCAAGGAAAAUUUGUCCUUAUUACUCAUUGCAUCACGGUGGACUUUUUCUCAGGUGAAGUGAGGAAAUGAAAGAACCAAGCGUAUUGCUGGUAAGAAUUAACCAUUAUUUUAAAUGGUGACGUUAUUAAUGGGAAACUUUUGUUGACUUUUGAAAAAGGAAAUAACAGGGCAGAAUUACUUUCAAGUUAAUCUGGCCACAAUAUGCAAGGUAGGUCAAAAUGGAGAGGACAGCCAUCAGCAGGACCAGCUGGAAGCUUUUGCUAUAAUGAAAGUGUCCAUUGGUUAGAUUCUGUACCAGGUCAGGGGCUUUAAAGACGGGAGAAACUUAAGAAUAUUCGACAUGUUCAUUUGCUGUGUAUAUUAUGAAUAUGUGGGGUUGGUGUGUGCUAUCGGAUAAUGCAGCAACAGUGAUGCAGUUUCCCAGUCCAAAACACCACCCUCCAUGGCCCCCAUCACCAGUGUACAAAAGGUUAAGAUUCUGAUAAGUUAUGUACAGCAAGUGGUAUAUUUCAGGAAACAUUUAAGCUUUUUGUAAAUGGGAAACACAACAGUUUUCUAAUAAAAUCAUUUGAAA